GACGAACGCUGGCGGCGUGCUUAACACAUGCAAGUCGAACGGAAAGGCCCUGCUUUUGUGGGGUGCUCGAGUGGCGAACGGGUGAGUAACACGUGAGUAACCUGCCCUUGACUUUGGGAUAACUUCAGGAAACUGGGGCUAAUACCGGAUAGGGGCUCCUGCUGCAUGGUGGGGGUUGGAAAGUUUCGGCGGUUGGGGAUGGACUCGCGGCUUAUCAGCUUGUUGGUGGGGUAGUGGCUUACCAAGGCUUUGACGGGUAGCCGGCCUGAGAGGGUGACCGGCCACAUUGGGACUGAGAUACGGCCCAGACUCCUACGGGAGGCAGCAGUGGGGAAUAUUGCACAAUGGGCGGAAGCCUGAUGCAGCAACGCCGCGUGCGGGAUGACGGCCUUCGGGUUGUAAACCGCUUCCGCCUGUGACGAAGCGUGAGUGACGGUAAUGGGUAAAGAAGCACCGGCUAACUACGUG
This 468-nucleotide ribosomal RNA is filed under the name uncultured bacterium. Its description in RNAcentral is "partial 16S ribosomal RNA". It matches the Rfam family "Bacterial small subunit ribosomal RNA", at positions 28 to 507 of the family's 1533-position model. The record is from RNAcentral.